UUUAUCUUAGUGUAAUAGAGCACGUAAAAUUUUGAUUUUUAAAGUAAUAUAAUUAGAUAAAU
RNAcentral lists this transfer RNA (62 nucleotides) under Pseudocrangonyx joolaei. RNAcentral's name for it is "tRNA-Gln". The record is from RNAcentral. Lineage: Eukaryota; Metazoa; Arthropoda; Malacostraca; Amphipoda; Pseudocrangonyctidae.